GAGGGGACAUCAUUGGGUGGAUGGACUGGUGGCUAACUCAACAAAAUGUAAAGACAACAUACAACAUCACAGGGGACAUAAGGACAUCACCGCAACAUCUACACAGACUGUAUCUAAACUGACUUCUAAAACACUGGUUUAUUUUGCUUUGGACCAUUUUACUGUUUUGAUCAAACAGGAUUUUAUCGAGGAAACAGUCUUGGCCUAACCAGCAGGAUCAGCUGACACUGGAGGAUUCCUCCCUGGCCACGGCCAUGUGAAGUGAACACUGUCUGUCUGAUGGUGUGUUUCAGAUUCUCUACUGGGUGUGCGUGCACCUGGAGGAUCCCUCCCAUAGGGGAGAUGAGCUCAGCCAAGGGAGGAGAUGCAAGCCCUGUGUCUAUGCGCCAUGCAAUAUCAUGGGAGGAGAUAUUAGUUGACUUAUUUGCUCUGACGGAGAGAUUACAAACGUUAUGACCAAAAUAAUGUGUCACAUCAGGCAAUAUCGAUAGCUGGAAGGGUGUGCCUCACAUCUCAGUGAAGUGAAUGUGAAGGGAAUGAGGAACCAGGCAGGGUGUCUCAUGGCCAGUGUAUGUGCAUUUGGAGGAGUAGAAAAAUAGAGGUGCUGGGCUGGGAAGAACUGAAGGCAUAAUUCAUUAUAAUGAACAUGAUGAGGGGAUGUGAUAUGAAGGGUAUAGUAUGUCACAGACAGUAGAUAUGGUAAUAGGAGAGGAAAUAGGUGGGGAAAGGUUCAAGUGAUAUCUGAACUUGUAUAAUAGUGUAUAUAUACACUGUAAUGUUAAGUGUUUGGUCCUGCUGGUAACGUUCACAUUGCACUGCCAAUGAACCUUGCUUAUGUUUAGUAAGGCAGAGAUAAUUUGUGCAAUAAUAUGCUAGAAAUAUGUGAAAACAAGAGGGAAACAAGAGGAUAAAUCAGGCUGAAAAGAACACCAAUAUUACAAUGAUAAUUUGUUAUUCUAGCAUGGCAGGCUCCGAGUGCUGCUUUAAUGUGCACAAUGAACAAUGGGACAGCAACUUCUGAGUGGAUGAGAAGGGUUUCUAUGAGGAAAAAAGUAGAGCAGUGGAACCCUGAGGCUGAGAGAGAGAGAGGCUGAGAGAGAGAGAGAGAGAGAGAGAGAGAGAGACAGAGAGAGACAGAGAGAGGCUGAGAGAGAGAGAGAGAGAGAGAGGCUGAGAGAGAGAGAGAGAGAGAGAGAGAGAGAGGUGAAGAGUGGGACCAUUUGUGGUGCUUUACCAUUGUUUAACACAAGAAAGGACACACUCAGAGUGAAGAACCAUACUGUGUAGUCCCUCACAGAAGCCACAUUCAAGUUUCAAAGUACUUUACAAUCAUUGUGCAGCUGGUUCCACUCUAUAUGUCCUCCUCAGGAUAUUGCAACAGAGACAGUAAUGGCCCAUUCUCCCCAGCCACACCCAAAACAAUUGAAGGCUUCAACAUUCAAAAGAUGAUUUGCUCUUCCUUCUCAUCUCAUCCACUUUUAUUUACAGGGAGCACGGGUGCAUUAGGGUAGGACCUCCAAAUCUUUAACUAUCUUAUUUAUGUUGUUUUCUUAGGUUCAACGUGUUGGCACCAACAGUGUUCAUCCAGUCAUGGACCUCGUCAUGAGAGCUCUUAGGAGAGAAUAUGCAACAAAGUAAUAUAUCAACUGGCCUGUAACAAGAUUCCCUAGUGAUAGCUGUUUCUCCUGGUUUGGCCUCUUUUCAAUAAGGUAAAAUAGCAGCUAUUGGUACAGUCUGUUUCUCUCAGAUGAACCAAGUACAGAUGACACUCUGGUCCCGCCAUGUUUUAAAAACAUAUGUAGCACAUAGCAACAGCUAUACUGUUAUGUAAGACUUUUAUUUUAUUCUUGACAUUUUAUUCUUAUUCUGGCCAUGGUAAACACUUUUAAAUGAAAGCCAGCUUAAGGCAUGUGCGGUAUCUCCUUCAAAAGUUAUUUUUUUCUCAGGACUUGAAAAGUUGAUGGUGCCAAGUUCCAACUGAGAUUUCUUCAGUCAUUUUCAAACACACAUCAAAUUAGUCCAUGAAUACAUGAGACUUUUCCACUUGGAGACUACCAGCUGGACCAUACUGUAUAUCUAUGACCUCUGCUGACUUAACUAUUGACCUAAGACCUUUGACCCAGGGAAGCAACAAUAGUUCCCUGUGAUGUUGAGAGUAUUUCCAGACUUCCGUCACUGUACUGUCUAUUGCUGUGCAUGGAAAUCUCUGUCAUCAAAAUAAGUUGAGUCGAUGAAACAUGAUGUAAUGGGGAGCUCACUUUGACACAUCAGAUCACUGCAUUUUAGAAGUCACUAUAUCUUGGCUUUGGUGUCGAAAACAGGGCCAUCACAGAGUAGGUCUACUAGUAUUACUGAACCCUACUAUAUCAGUAUAGCACUACAACAACCAUGUUAAUGACUUGGAGGAAGAGCUUUGAAUGAGAGUGUGAUGCCACUUUGGCAAAAUCCAUUAUGAUCCCUGAUGACAAAUUGACAUGGGGAUGAAGCACUGGGUCCAGCAUUUCACCAAGGGUCAAUGACACAGUAAACAGAUUCAAAUUCAGUCAUCAAGAACAACUCUGUAUGAUAAUAGAACAUUCACAAAUAGGCCUCAAGACAAGGAUUUACUUCCAAAAAAUGAAAAAUAGGAAAUCCAAACAUGUUCAUCUGUGUGUGUCGAUGUCUGGUAAAUGUGUGUGUUGUGAUAAUGGAGGAAAUGUUUUGUAUUCAAAUUGAAAAUAUAUACAUGUACACUCGUGUUAGAAGAAGGAUCAUGCUUGGACUGGUGUGCUAACUGAACACUAAUUUGGGCUUCGUUGGGAGGGAUGGCUAAUGAUCUGAAGAUAACUGUGUCCAUAUCAGUCAAACCUUUUUCAUGACUCCCUCCAUUACUCUUGGCAUUAGUCUGGAGCACAGAUCCACCCUCUAUUCUUUGCCCCAAGGCUGCCCUGCUCUGCCCUGCUGGUAGCUCUGCCUACACAAUGAGACACACACAACAUCAGCCUGACUCUAUGCACAGCCAGAGUUUCUGAGGUGACAAACAUUCACAACCUUUGUCAACUUGAACACCACCUGGGACAAGGGCUGUCAUUGGCUGACACAUGGAAGUAUUAUACACGUCUGUCUGGCAGGAAAAGAGGCCUCUAUGACUUACAGCCCAUCUUAGACUGCACAAUACAAAAGGUAGACUUGACAUCGACACAGAUGCUUUCAGAUAUUCUCAGCCUGGGGAAUACAUGUACUACCCUUGCAUUAAACUUAAUUCAUAGCUCUCAUUGAAAAGUAAUUAAUGUCUUUCCCAGUGGAGACAACUGUAUGAUUAGCAUUACUGAUGAAAAACUGUUGUGAACAUUUUUUGUUUUGUUUUGUGUCCUGUGCCUGUGUCUUUAAAUGUCUUGGAUUAAAUGUCCUUGGCACGGUCAGUGUCUGAAAAAUGACCGAACUGCAACAAAUGUCUCUUUGUUCUCUCGCUAAUCCUUCCUGGAGUCUGAAGUCUGUGUCUUUGAAAACAUUAUUUUUGGUCAUGAUCCAUGUCUGUUCUAUGUGUUCUAUUACACUAUGUUCCACUAAAUGCAGACAGAACCCUUGACAGAGAGGUGCUGUAAUAAAAAAGUGCUUGAUCGUG
Molecule: long non-coding RNA, 3604 nt
Organism: Oncorhynchus keta (chum salmon)
Lineage: Eukaryota; Metazoa; Chordata; Actinopteri; Salmoniformes; Salmonidae
Exons: 2
Source: RefSeq, a predicted model, not a curated record